This 683-nucleotide long non-coding RNA is filed under the name Chrysemys picta bellii (western painted turtle). RNAcentral describes it as "lncRNA (ENSCPBG00000001620.1)". The record is from RNAcentral. Lineage: Eukaryota; Metazoa; Chordata; Testudines; Emydidae.
UAACUCUGUACUUGUACGUAGGCUGGUUCUUGCUAGAAAAAUUAACAGCCUCGUGUCCUAGAGGCACAAGAGGGAAAUGAAUACAGCAUGAUGCAAAUCAGGACACACGCAGUUACUCUCGGCAGAGGAAAUGGCUACGGUAGCUGGAACGCUUCACCCAGUGAGUGGCUGAGACAACAGAUGAUUGUGGAUGGGAACUGUAUAUAAGGAUGGGGACUAGCAAUGAAUUUCCCAACAGGGAGUGUGGGAGCUCUGAAGGAAGGCGUGUCAGCAGGAAAAAAAUCAGACCGCAGAGAUGAUAAAGAACAACAACAAUAUAACACUGUUAUCAUUGCAACACGCCUUCAUUUUCACUCAUGCAUCUGCUCGCUCUGUGCAGGCCAACAGCUAUUUGUGCAUGCAAAUCCAAUAACCAACGAGCAAUGUGGAAAUGCAAAGCAAGUGUCUGCCCAUUCAUGCCAGCAACAGCAAAUGUGAACGUGUAAAAAGGGAGGCAAAAAUUGUUGGUGGAAAAUACAGGGCUGGUGCUACCAUUAAGGCAAACCAGGCGGUUGCCUAGGGUGCCAAGAUUUGGGGGCGCCAAAAAGUGGUGCCCCAAAUUUUUUUUACAGUGUUCCUACGCCCCCGCCCCGAGCGCGCGGUCGCCACUCCACUUCUCCCACCUCCCAGGCUUGCAGCGCCAA